UACGAAGGGGGCUAGCGUUGCUCGGAAUCACUGGGCGUAAAGGGUGCGUAGGCGGGUUCUUAAGUCAGGGGUGAAAUCCUGGAGCUCAACUCCAGAACUGCCUUUGAUACUGGGAAUCUCGAGUCCGGGAGAGGUGAGUGGAACUGCGAGUGUAGAGGUGAAAUUCGUAGAUAUUCGCAAGAACACCAGUGGCGAAGGCGGCUCACUGGCCCGGUACUGACGCUGAGGUGCGAAAGCGUGGGGAGCAAACAGG
Molecule: ribosomal RNA, 253 nt
Filed under: uncultured bacterium
Lineage: Bacteria
Description: partial 16S ribosomal RNA
Rfam family: Bacterial small subunit ribosomal RNA
Source: RNAcentral